Xyrichtys novacula (pearly razorfish) is the source of this 64-nucleotide non-coding RNA. The record is from the annotation of a GenBank genome assembly. NCBI's taxonomy places the organism in Eukaryota, Metazoa, Chordata, Actinopteri, Labriformes, Labridae.
ACACACACACACACACACACAGUCUGAGGUGAGAGGACUGGUGUGUGUGUGUGUGUGUGUGUGU